Molecule: long non-coding RNA, 148 nt
Organism: Alosa sapidissima (American shad)
Lineage: Eukaryota; Metazoa; Chordata; Actinopteri; Clupeiformes; Clupeidae
Exons: 3
Source: RefSeq, a predicted model, not a curated record
CUGUGUAACACCAUACAUAAGCACUACACAGAUUCCCAGGGCGAGCCGAAGACCAAGCUGUUCGUCAGAAGUGGAUUGUGAACAUCAACCGAAAGGAUUUUGUUCCGAACAAACAUAUCACGGGAGUGAGUGUCAUGUCCCACACCUC